AUGAAUGCUGGCGGCGUGUCUAAGGCAUGCAAGUCGAACGGACAUCAUUAAGUAGCAAUACAAGGUGAUGUUAGUGGCAAACGGGAGCGUAACACAUUGGUAACUUACCUUGCACUCGCGAAUAACUGUUGGAAACGACAGCUAAUACGCGAUAUUGAUGGGGGGACUUAUGUCAUUCCCAUUGAAAGAUUUAUCGGUGCAAGAGAGACCUAUGGUCCAUCAGGUAGUUGGCGGGGUAACGGCCCACCAAGCCUAUGACGGAUACCAGGCGCGAGAGCGUGACCUGGCUCACUGGGACUGAGAACUGCCCAGACACCUACGGGUGGCUGCAGUUGAGAAUAUUCGACAAUGCACGAAAGUGUGAUCGAGCGACGCCGCGUGGCGAAUGACGGCCUUCGGGUUGUAAACGGCUUUUAUGAGGGACGAAUUUUGACGGUACCUCAUGAAUAAGGGGUUGCUAACUCUGU
RNAcentral lists this ribosomal RNA (467 nucleotides) under uncultured bacterium. Its description in RNAcentral is "bacterial SSU rRNA". It matches the Rfam family "Bacterial small subunit ribosomal RNA", at positions 29 to 506 of the family's 1533-position model. The record is from RNAcentral.